UUUUUCUAUUUUCUUUUUUUGCAGUUAAAACAUAUAUUUGGUCAACAUCUAAGGCAAUAAAUUGAAUCAUCACGAUGUAGGGAUAUGUAGAAUGAAGAUUUACAUACAUGUUUUUGUAAAUACAAUGCAUUUGACGUUGAUUAAGAAAGCAGCCGUGUUGCUACUUGUGGAAUGUUUUCUUCUCUGGUGGGGUGCAUGGUCUUGAAGGUCUAUCACAGAAAAACUUGUUUUUGCCUGUCCUAAUUCUUAUGUUAUGGAAAGAAUGGAUAAUUUUACUUGUUCAAUGUGUUUCUAGGCCACAAGUAAUCCUUUAAACUAUGAACAACACCUUGUCCGAUACAAACAUGACCGAAACGUUGGUGUGACAUGCACUGCAGCAUCUUGCUCGUAUUCUACAUCUAUUAUUUCAUAUAUUGCAGAUUUUCAUGGAGAUCAAAUUAAUGAAAGGUGGGGAAAUUUGGAGGUCAGUGGAAAAAUCAACAAAUGAUUUAUUCAACGCCGUGAAGGAAAUCAUGCCCCCCACUGACGAAGCUGAUGAACUAAUGGAAGAUAUUGAGGCUUUUCGCUAUAUGGUGAGGGAAACAGGAUAUGACAGGGGCCGAGGAGCGAAAAGCACCUCUAUAUUGGAAAAAAUCAAAGGAGUUGUCUCCUAAACAAAUUGACGAGGAAGCCGAGAAAACAAAGUUGCCAGUAGGGCCAAUGCUUCGGAUCUUUGUAAAGGACAACCGGAUAACUGAGGCAAUCAUACACGCCGACGGGCUAAACCUUCCUGGAACUUCAGGAAGGCAGUGGUCCAGAUGCUGGCCAUAUACUAUGGAGCUUGGCUGGAUUACCGAGACAGUAUGCACGGAUGUUUGGCGUUAUGCAAGAACUCUUUUUCAAGGAAACCUUUGGUUCAAAAACCAAAGAUUGUGUUCACUUCUUGAAGAAAGUUGAAGCAUGCAUGAUUGACUAGACUAGAUUGACAUGUUUCCUAAUGGGAAAAUAAAAUGUUUAAUUCUA
RNA transcript from Haliotis rufescens (red abalone), 1002 nucleotides. RefSeq lists it as uncharacterized. The transcript is spliced from 3 exons. Lineage: Eukaryota; Metazoa; Mollusca; Gastropoda; Lepetellida; Haliotidae. The record is from RefSeq and is a predicted model, not a curated record.